Long non-coding RNA from Carassius auratus (goldfish), 1363 nucleotides. RefSeq lists it as uncharacterized. Lineage: Eukaryota; Metazoa; Chordata; Actinopteri; Cypriniformes; Cyprinidae. The transcript has 6 exons. The record is from RefSeq and is a predicted model, not a curated record.
UAUUCCAGAAAGCUUGGUUAACUUACCAUUUGAUAAACUAUAACCUCUGGGUUGAUUUACCCCAAACAGGCAUACCAUGAGUAUGUCGGUUCCAAAACACCUGAGAAGAGUUAGCUUAAUCAACCUCUGACUGGUUACCCAGAGUUAAUGCGCGUGCACGGUGCAUGUAUAAAGACAUUUUCAAUGGAUCGCCGAUUUCACGAGUCACCAUGGAAACUCAAAGCGAAAAAAAGAGAGCCGCGUAUUUCACAGAGGCGGAGUUGGAAGUUUUAAUGCAUGCUUAUGAGGAGUUUAAGCCAAUAAUAUUAAAAAGAAGCAAUACAGCUGCAUCGGCUAAAGCAAGAGAGUUGGCUUGGCAAAAAAUAACGGACAGAGUAAAUGCGUGUAAUCCUUCUGGAGCCACAAGAACUUUAAGCCAAGUCAAAAUGAAACACAAAAACAUUCUGCAAAAAGCUAACAGAAAAAAGACUGAAGCCCGUCUAACUGGCGGGGGGCCACCACCACCUCCCCUCACCCCAUCUGAGGACCUGGCUCUGUCCCUUAAUAAAGGGCGACCAGUGGUUGCUGGCAUUCCAGGGGGCAGUUCAUCACACAUACUAUGCACCACAAGUGAUGGUGAAAAAAGGGUGAAAUGUAAGUUUACCUCUAUGAUUUGUUUUCAUUUUUUAUCCUGAUAAAUUACUAUCUCUGUCACUUAAAGGCUUUUUGAACAAGAUUAAUUUAUGUAGGCUUAUUUUAUUUAACUGCAUAUGAUGUAUUAUUUUCUUUGAUAAUAUUGAGAAUUUAACGGGUUGUGUGUUCUUAUAGAUACUGAUGGACGGAUUGUAUUAUUGGACUCUCCAGAAAGAACACAGUCUGUCACAGUUGUAAGUGAUUUGUUGUCAGGUACUUUUAGGUUUUUUUUUUUUUUGCCAAAUAAUGUAUACUUGAAUAUUUGUCUUGUAGGGUGAAGAUGAUGAUGACGAUGAAGAGACCACAUCUGCUGUGACAGAAGUGGACAAUGCUGGUAGAUCCACUGAGUACAUACCUAGGGAUUUGCCCACAGAUGAGGGUCCUUCAGCCUCAGCACACAAUCUAAGCAGGUUGCCAGCAAAGGAGCUGUAUAAGGUCCAUCUUCAAAAACAAAUAAGAAAAAGUGACAUGGAGAUGGACCUUAUACAGCUUCAAAUGGAAGAGAAAAGGCUCCUCAUUAAAAAAGCAGCACUUGAAAUAGAAUUACUUGAGAAUCGCCUUAAGGAAAUGAAGAAAUAAACUGCCUGGCAGACCAGUGCAAAAAAAACUAAUAAAAGUAAUUUUGACAAAUCCUGUCUCUCAAAAGUCUUCCGUCUCUGUUGGCCUCUAAAAUCUGUCGGUGUUCCUCUGG